ACUUGUUCUUUAAAUGAGGACUAGUAUGAAUGGCACCACGAAGGUUACACUGUCUCCUUUUUCUAAUCAGUAAAACUAAUCUUCCCGUGAAGAAGCGGGGAUCCUUAUAUAAGACGAGAAGACCCUAUGGAGCUUUAAACGAAAUAACAUCUACCAACUCACCUAAUAAUUUCAGAAAAUUAACACUAAACUUGGUAUAAUGGUUACUAGUUUUAGGUUGGGGUGACCGCGGAGCAAAAACCAACCUCCGCAUUGAAUGGACUUACAAUCCUUAACAAAAAGCCACAACUUUAUGUAUCAACACAUUGACAUCCAUUGACCCAUUAAUUUGAUCAACGAACCAAGUUACCCUAGGGAUAACAGCGCAAUCCAUUUCAAGAGCUCCUAUCGACAAAUGG
RNAcentral lists this ribosomal RNA (398 nucleotides) under Odontophrynus americanus. RNAcentral describes it as "partial 16S ribosomal RNA". It matches the Rfam family "Bacterial large subunit ribosomal RNA", at positions 1967 to 2515 of the family's 2925-position model. The record is from RNAcentral. Lineage: Eukaryota; Metazoa; Chordata; Amphibia; Anura; Alsodidae.